Molecule: transfer RNA, 72 nt
Filed under: Novosphingobium sp. MBES04
Lineage: Bacteria; Pseudomonadati; Pseudomonadota; Alphaproteobacteria; Sphingomonadales; Sphingomonadaceae
Description: tRNA-Thr
Rfam family: tRNA
About the family: Transfer RNA (tRNA) molecules are approximately 80 nucleotides in length. Their secondary structure includes four short double-helical elements and three loops (D, anti-codon, and T loops).
Source: RNAcentral
CUGCUGUAGCUCAGUGGUAGAGCGCACCCUUGGUAAGGGUGAGGUCGGGAGUUCAAUCCUCCCCAGCAGCAC